Long non-coding RNA from Ictalurus punctatus (channel catfish), 430 nucleotides. The record is from Ensembl. Lineage: Eukaryota; Metazoa; Chordata; Actinopteri; Siluriformes; Ictaluridae.
CUCAGUAGCUCGUUUCUCUGCGUUACCAAGCCGGUCUAGUUUGUUUCUUUCUCGUGAUCCUCGACCCUUGUUUUCUGUCUCGACUACGCUUUCUGCCUAUCCCCGUUUGUAUUGUUCGCCCGAUCGCUUGACCCUUGUUUACCCUACGACUACGUUUCUGGAACUUCCCGAUUCUACGCUCUACCCCCGCCGCCCGCUCCUGCUUCCGUGCCGUUUCGAGGGAAGGAGUCUCCAGUGUCAGAAGUAAAGUGAUGGAACCAGACCGAGCUGGCUGUCCCUUUAUAAUGCAAUAAAUUACUUACAAUGUUCUAACAUCUUUAGGCAACAGGUUACUCCUCCAGAACUCAACAAGAAUCAUGUGAGCUUUUAACCAGUUUCAGAAAACCACUGGUGUGACUUACACAUUAUUAUUAUUAUUAUUAUUAUUAUU